RNAcentral lists this ribosomal RNA (774 nucleotides) under uncultured Neocallimastigales. RNAcentral's name for it is "partial large subunit ribosomal RNA". It matches the Rfam family "Eukaryotic large subunit ribosomal RNA", at positions 26 to 614 of the family's 3401-position model. The record is from RNAcentral. Lineage: Eukaryota; Fungi; Neocallimastigomycota; Neocallimastigomycetes; Neocallimastigales.
CGCAUCUGUGCAUGCAGCAUAUCAAUAAGCGGAGGAAAAGAAACUAACAAGGAUUCCCCUAGUAACGGCGAGUGAAGCGGGAAGAGCUCAAAUUUGAAAUCUUAAAGGGUUUCCCUUUACGAAUUGUAGUUUAAAGAAGUGUUUUCUGUUGAGGUUUUGGUAAAAGUUCUUUGGAAUAGGACAUCAUAGAGGGUGAGAAUCCCGUAUUUGACCUUUACUUUCAACUUUGUGAUACACUUUCAAAGAGUCGGAUUGUUUGGGAAUGCAGUCCAAAAUGGGUGGUAAAUUUCAUCUAAAGCUAAAUAUUGGCGAGAGACCGAUAGCGAACAAGUACCGUGAGGGAAAGAUGAAAAGAACUUUGAAAAGAGAGUUAAACAGUACGUGAAAUUGUCAAAAGGGAAGCGUUUGGCACCAGUGUUGUUUUUCUGAAAAUCAAUUAAAGAACUGUUUAUGCUAAGCUGUUUAGACUUUAUCAGCUAACUGUUUAGUUUUGAGCUUUUCUUUAAUGCACUUUUCAGUUAACAAGUCAACAUCAAUUUCUAUUGCUGUAAAAAAGCUUGAGGAAGGUGGCUUGAGAUUCGUCUUAAGUGUUUAUAGCCUCUUGCCUAUGCAGUCGGAGAGAUUGAGGUCUGCAGCGUAGAUCCUUCGGGGCUAAAUGCAUUUGUGCUAAGUUAUAGCAUUUUAUAGACAACUUGUUGACUAUGAUUUGUCUUGUAGCUUACUCGCUUAUGUUAUUUUACCUACGCUUAGGAUGUUGAACGCGCACAGAGUCUC